RNAcentral lists this RNase P RNA (355 nucleotides) under Halothiobacillus sp. Its description in RNAcentral is "RNase P RNA component class A". It matches the Rfam family "Bacterial RNase P class A". Rfam says of the family: Ribonuclease P (RNase P) is a ubiquitous endoribonuclease, found in archaea, bacteria and eukarya as well as chloroplasts and mitochondria. Its best characterised activity is the generation of mature 5'-ends of tRNAs by cleaving the 5'-leader elements of precursor-tRNAs. Cellular RNase Ps are ribonucleoproteins. Lineage: Bacteria; Pseudomonadati; Pseudomonadota; Gammaproteobacteria; Chromatiales; Halothiobacillaceae. The record is from RNAcentral.
GGAGUCGGCUAAGUCAUCGCUGCAUUCAUUUUGAAUGUGGAGGAAAGUCCGGGCUCCAUAGGGCAGAGUGCCAGGUAAUACCUGGGCGGCGUGAGCCGACGGAAAGUGCCACAGAAACUAUACCGCCAGGUCAUCUUUUAGGUGAUCUGGUAAGGGUGAAAUGGUGCGGUAAGAGCGCACCGCGCGGAUGGUAACAUCUCGCGGCAGGGCAAACCCCACUCGGAGCAAGGCCAAAUAGGGGAGCAUGAGCGUGGCCCGCGCUGCUCCCGGGUAGGCCGCUUGAGAUGCUCGGUGACGGGCAUCCUAGAUGAAUGAUGACUCUCGACAGAACCCGGCUUAUCGGCCGACUCCACUC